This 513-nucleotide long non-coding RNA is filed under the name Brassica napus (rape). RNAcentral's name for it is "long non-coding RNA (BNAP_LNC013814)". The record is from RNAcentral. Lineage: Eukaryota; Viridiplantae; Streptophyta; Magnoliopsida; Brassicales; Brassicaceae.
UAAUUUGUCUGUUACGGAUUAGUUGUAUAUUAAAUACCAGAACCUGCCACAUUCAUUGAUAGAAAAAACCAGUACCACAAUACAACAUCCGAUACAAUACCAGUCUAAAAGAACAUAACCCAAAGCACAAGUUUUAAACGAAACUAGAAAGCAACAAUAUCCAAGUAGAAGAGUAGUACAAUAUACCUGAUAGUACUCUUAACACAAGACCACUUUCUCCUUUGGCCAUGCAAUGCAUGUUCCAAUAGCGUCACCCAAACACUCAAUCUCAGAAGAUGGACGCCAAACCUCUGCCAAAUUAACCUUCACCACAUCAAUCCAGACUUUAACUGCAUUAGGUCCCAAGGGAACAAAGUGUACUGAGUCUUCUGGGUUAUCUGAACCCCACCGUCCUUCUGCAACCACCUGAUUUUUCCCACCAAUGGACAUCAACUUGCACUUCUGAUUCUCUUUGGCAUCAUUUUGACAAAGACGCUACAGUGUUUGUAAGACAAACAGUUUAUGUCAGUGAAU